RNA transcript from Bombyx mori (domestic silkworm), 2582 nucleotides. It is a transcript of the gene named U1 small nuclear ribonucleoprotein A, with no coding region annotated. The record is from RefSeq and is marked validated. The transcript is spliced from 7 exons. Lineage: Eukaryota; Metazoa; Arthropoda; Insecta; Lepidoptera; Bombycidae.
AGUUCCUUUGCCUUUCUCUUCGAGAAAAACCUUACUACUACUACUAUCUAUGGUUAGAAUGUUAGCUAGGGACCUUCGCUAGAAGUAAUAGUGUUCUGUGCUAGGGACGCGCCUGUUUCAACGAAAACUGCCUAGACCUGUAAAAAGAAUUUGGAAGUAUCCAAUUUGAUUCCGCCUUCACUCACAUUGGUUCAAUCGAAUUCGUUCCUUGUCACGCCUCUCGUAUAAAAAACAAAACUUAGUUUUGUAAUCAAAAUGACAAUGGAUAUAAGACCCAACCAUACCAUUUAUAUCAAUAAUCUCAAUGAAAAGAUUAAAAAAGAAGAAUUAAAGAAGUCACUUUAUGCAAUAUUUUCACAAUUUGGUCAAAUAUUGGAUAUAGUAGCAAUGAAAACCUUAAAAAUGCGUGGUCAAGCAUUUGUUAUUUUCAAGGAAAUUUCAAGUGCCACUGUUGCUUUGCGGAGCAUGCAAGGAUUUCCAUUCUAUGAUAAACCAAUGAGAAUUCAGUAUUCAAAAAUUGAUAGUGAUAUAAUAGCAAAAAGUAAAGGAACAUUUCAAGAACGACCUAAACGUCCAAAGCUACCUAAAGGUACUGAUGAUGGGAAGAAAAAGAAAAACAAAGAUCCUAGCAGACUUAUUGGGCAUGGUAUCCCUGGUGCUGGUAUCCUAAACAAUGUUAAUGCGGAACAACCUCCCAACCAAAUUCUGUUCUUGACAAACCUUCCAGAUGAAACUUCAGAGAUGAUGUUAUCAAUGUUGUUCAAUCAGUUCCCAGGCUUUAAGGAGGUUCGUCUUGUGCCAAACAGGCAUGAUAUCGCUUUUGUUGAAUUCGGAAAUGAAAUGCAAUCUGCAGCAGCCAAAGAAGCAUUACAAGGAUUCAAAAUAACACCAACACAUGCAAUGAAGAUUACUUUUGCUAAGAAAUAGUAAUAAAGACCAAAGGUUGGGGACGUGGAGGAGUCCAGGCGGGAAAACCAAAAACCAAAUCGACAACAUACUGAGUUUAGAUGCUUAAACAUGUAUAUGGGGCCGAGACAUGGACGCUCACAAAGCAAACUAUGACCAAAAUGCAAGUCAUCAGUCAAAGAACCAUGGAACGGGCUAUUCUGGGCAUUUCUCUACGAGAUAGGGUGCGCAAUACCGAAAUGUGCAGAAGAACUGGUGUGACUGACAUAGCCAAAGUGAUUGCUCGCAGAAAGUGGAAGUCGGCCGGCCACAUGUGCCGUAGCACUGACAAUCGGUGGGGCACAAAAGUAUUAGCGUGAAGGCCCUGUACUGAACAUGGGCAGAGAACAAAUGAGGUGGACCGACGACCUGGUCAAAAUAGCUGGCAAGGACUGAAUGUGAAAAGCAAGAGACCAAAAAGAAUGGAAUGCAUUUGAAGAGACAUACACUCAGCAUUGGGAAGACACUUGAAGAUGAUGAUGUGUUUCAAAGUGGAAUGUUAGACUGAAUAUUGAUUGUAUUCUAAAAAAAUCUUGAAACAGUCAAAGCUUGAAGAACAUUUAAAUUAGUGUUAUUUUUACAAAGAUGCAGUAGACGUCAUACAAGUAGUAGGUGUAUAUUCUGUGGACUGGGAACGAAUGAAGUGAAGUGGACUUUUUGGCGGGAACGCGAGGAGUGAAGUUGUGUGAUUUGUUUUAUUUUGUCUAUUUAAUAUUUCUUCAGGUUUUAAUUUGUAAUUACCAGUGGUCGGAGUAGGUAGAUUGAUUUUUUAUACUUUCGUCAAGAUAUUAUAAUAUCGACAUGCCAUUUUAUCCAUAAUGAUUAUUUUUUUAAAUUGAAAAAAAAUGUUUAAUACUCAUCGGAUAAAAUUUCUAUAUUUAUGAGAUAACAAAAACCCUGUCUAAGUUUUGUCUCAUACUGACAAGCGUCAUUUCUAAUUCAACAGAAAGGGACAAAAUACGGUGUAACUAUUCCAAGGCGUUUUUGCAUAAAAUAAAAUACUAAUUUCUUUCACCAUUAGCUAGCACUGGUAGCGUAGAUUAAUAUUAUUAAUACAUUUUUCACCUUAAACACAGAUUCACGCUAAUUUCAAAAUUCCGGAACAAAUAUCACAAUAAAUAUGAAGUUCCGGUAUUUUGGAGGCAUAUCCAUAUUAUCCUCUACGUUUGAAGUCAACGACCUUAAAUCGAUCUACCUAGUCCGACCUCUAGUAAUAACGGUGAUUUAUUAACUGUUUAAUAUCUGUGAAAGUGCACAAACGUGGGAAAAUAAAACAAAGCUACUGGACGUGAUUUCUCGGGAUCCUCCAAAAAGUCCAAUGAAAAAAUCUUAGUAAAUGACCACAAUUUUACUGAGAUUAUAUUUCAUCCCAUAUCAUCACAUCUCAUAUCAUUUAAUUUCAUCACAGUUGAUUAAUGUCUCAAAUUAAUCGUCGUCAUUUCAUUUCACUCCAUAUUAUAAUUUUUCAUAAAAAUAAGAAUAUAAAUUAAAAUAAGACUUGACUUAAAAGUUUCAGUUACCAGGUCAUAAAAACUCUUUAAAAAAAAAUAAAAAAAAAUGUAAUCACAGAAUUCACAGAUAACAUAUUUACAAUUUAUAAUAUUAUGUUAAAUUAAAAAUAUUGGAACAGUACAUAA